Molecule: long non-coding RNA, 796 nt
Organism: Orcinus orca (killer whale)
Lineage: Eukaryota; Metazoa; Chordata; Mammalia; Artiodactyla; Delphinidae
Exons: 5
Source: RefSeq, a predicted model, not a curated record
UCUGCAAAUUGAACUCAAAUAUCCUUUGGGCUGACUACACAGAGAACAGAAGAAAGACGUGGAAGAAACUUGGACUCGAGAUUGCCUUCCUGAAAAGGUUUCCUUCAGGCGGAAUUAUGUGAGAAGAAAUGACAUCAGAAACUAACGUGUCAGUAUACUUCUGCCAGCUCCAUACGGUCCAGCUUGUUUUCACAGAAAGAAGCAAAAGCUGUGGGAAUGGGCAUGAAAAAAUACAAAAGGACUUUAUAUCUUUCAGCCUGGGCAGAAGUUGACAGAGAAAAGGAGGUGAGAGAAAAACAAGAUAUGAGAAAAAAAGGCAAAAUCCAAGAAUGAUUUGCACUGGACUGAGAAGAGCGUGAGAUGAAACCCCAAAUUCUUAACUGGUUGAGUUCUAGAAAGAGCGAUGGUAGUAAUUUGGGGGAACUGGUGGUGCCGAGUUCACUUGAUUCUACUUUGAAAACUCUCAUUAAUUGUGCAUGGCUGUGCACAUACACACACCACAGAAACAAAAUUCCUGGAAUGAUUGUCCAAAUCAAUUUGAGGCCCUGUGUCUGUGUAAACUAAUUUCCGUGGCUACUCCUCCAUAAAUGACUUUGCUAUACUCUUCCUCCAAAAGGACUUGGAUCUAGGAUGGCCAUAGCAUCAGACUUCAUAUUCUCCUACUGCUGCCGGGUGAUCUGAACUCUCAUCCAUCAAGCUUAGAAAACCAGAGAGAAAAGGAGCUUCUUCACUGUCAACUCAACCAGAAAAAUACUUGGAAAAGACUCUACCCCAGUGUGCUUGGGUCAUGGACAAG